GCCCUAGUAACGGCGAGUGAAGCGGCAACAGCUCAAAUUUGAAAGCUAGCCUUCGGGUUCGCAUUGUAAUUUGUAGAGGAUGAUUUGGGGAAGCCGCCUGUCUAAGUUCCUUGGAACAGGACGUCAUAGAGGGUGAGAAUCCCGUAUGUGACAGGAAAUGGCACCCUAUGUAAAUCUCCUUCGACGAGUCGAGUUGUUUGGGAAUGCAGCUCUAAAUGGGAGGUAAAUUUCUUCUAAAGCUAAAUAUUGGCGAGAGACCGAUAGCGCACAAGUAGAGUGAUCGAAAGAUGAAAAGCACUUUGGAAAGAGAGUUAAAAAGCACGUGAAAUUGUUGAAAGGGAAGCGCUUGCAAUCAGACUUGUUUAAACUGUUCGGCCGGUCUUCUGACCGGUUUACUCAGUUUGGACAGGCCAGCAUCAGUUUCGGCGGCCGGAUAAAGGCUCUGGGAAUGUGGCCUCCACUUCGGUGGAGGUGUUAUAGCCCAGGGUGUAAUACGGCCAGCCGGGACUGAGGUCCGCGCUUCGGCUAGGAUGCUGGCGUAAUGGUUG
Molecule: ribosomal RNA, 548 nt
Filed under: Aureobasidium proteae
Lineage: Eukaryota; Fungi; Ascomycota; Dothideomycetes; Dothideales; Saccotheciaceae
Description: eukaryotic LSU rRNA
Rfam family: Eukaryotic large subunit ribosomal RNA
Source: RNAcentral